RNAcentral lists this ribosomal RNA (2923 nucleotides) under Staphylococcus aureus. RNAcentral describes it as "23S ribosomal RNA". It matches the Rfam family "Bacterial large subunit ribosomal RNA". Lineage: Bacteria; Bacillati; Bacillota; Bacilli; Caryophanales; Staphylococcaceae. The record is from RNAcentral.
GAUUAAGUUAUUAAGGGCGCACGGUGGAUGCCUUGGCACUAGAAGCCGAUGAAGGACGUUACUAACGACGAUAUGCUUUGGGGAGCUGUAAGUAAGCUUUGAUCCAGAGAUUUCCGAAUGGGGAAACCCAGCAUGAGUUAUGUCAUGUUAUCGAUAUGUGAAUACAUAGCAUAUCAGAAGGCACACCCGGAGAACUGAAACAUCUUAGUACCCGGAGGAAGAGAAAGAAAAUUCGAUUCCCUUAGUAGCGGCGAGCGAAACGGGAAGAGCCCAAACCAACAAGCUUGCUUGUUGGGGUUGUAGGACACUCUAUACGGAGUUACAAAGGACGACAUUAGAUGAAUCAUCUGGAAAGAUGAAUCAAAGAAGGUAAUAAUCCUGUAGUCGAAAAUGUUGUCUCUCUUGAGUGGAUCCUGAGUACGACGGAGCACGUGAAAUUCCGUCGGAAUCUGGGAGGACCAUCUCCUAAGGCUAAAUACUCUCUAGUGACCGAUAGUGAACCAGUACCGUGAGGGAAAGGUGAAAAGCACCCCGGAAGGGGAGUGAAAUAGAACCUGAAACCGUGUGCUUACAAGUAGUCAGAGCCCGUUAAUGGGUGAUGGCGUGCCUUUUGUAGAAUGAACCGGCGAGUUACGAUUUGAUGCAAGGUUAAGCAGUAAAUGUGGAGCCGUAGCGAAAGCGAGUCUGAAUAGGGCGUUUAGUAUUUGGUCGUAGACCCGAAACCAGGUGAUCUACCCUUGGUCAGGUUGAAGUUCAGGUAACACUGAAUGGAGGACCGAACCGACUUACGUUGAAAAGUGAGCGGAUGAACUGAGGGUAGCGGAGAAAUUCCAAUCGAACCUGGAGAUAGCUGGUUCUCUCCGAAAUAGCUUUAGGGCUAGCCUCAAGUGAUGAUUAUUGGAGGUAGAGCACUGUUUGGACGAGGGGCCCCUCUCGGGUUACCGAAUUCAGACAAACUCCGAAUGCCAAUUAAUUUAACUUGGGAGUCAGAACAUGGGUGAUAAGGUCCGUGUUCGAAAGGGAAACAGCCCAGACCACCAGCUAAGGUCCCAAAAUAUAUGUUAAGUGGAAAAGGAUGUGGCGUUGCCCAGACAACUAGGAUGUUGGCUUAGAAGCAGCCAUCAUUUAAAGAGUGCGUAAUAGCUCACUAGUCGAGUGACACUGCGCCGAAAAUGUACCGGGGCUAAACAUAUUACCGAAGCUGUGGAUUGUCCUUUGGACAAUGGUAGGAGAGCGUUCUAAGGGCGUUGAAGCAUGAUCGUAAGGACAUGUGGAGCGCUUAGAAGUGAGAAUGCCGGUGUGAGUAGCGAAAGACGGGUGAGAAUCCCGUCCACCGAUUGACUAAGGUUUCCAGAGGAAGGCUCGUCCGCUCUGGGUUAGUCGGGUCCUAAGCUGAGGCCGACAGGCGUAGGCGAUGGAUAUCAGGUUGAUAUUCCUGUACCACCUAUAAUCGUUUUAAUCGAUGGGGGGACGCAGUAGGAUAGGCGAAGCGUGCGAUUGGAUUGCACGUCUAAGCAGUAAGGCUGAGUAUUAGGCAAAUCCGGUACUCGUUAAGGCUGAGCUGUGAUGGGGAGAAGACAUUGUGUCUUCGAGUCGUUGAUUUCACACUGCCGAGAAAAGCCUCUAGAUAGAAAAUAGGUGCCCGUACCGCAAACCGACACAGGUAGUCAAGAUGAGAAUUCUAAGGUGAGCGAGCGAACUCUCGUUAAGGAACUCGGCAAAAUGACCCCGUAACUUCGGGAGAAGGGGUGCUCUUUAGGGUUAACGCCCAGAAGAGCCGCAGUGAAUAGGCCCAAGCGACUGUUUAUCAAAAACACAGGUCUCUGCUAAACCGUAAGGUGAUGUAUAGGGGCUGACGCCUGCCCGGUGCUGGAAGGUUAAGAGGAGUGGUUAGCUUCUGCGAAGCUACGAAUCGAAGCCCCAGUAAACGGCGGCCGUAACUAUAACGGUCCUAAGGUAGCGAAAUUCCUUGUCGGGUAAGUUCCGACCCGCACGAAAGGCGUAACGAUUUGGGCACUGUCUCAACGAGAGACUCGGUGAAAUCAUAGUACCUGUGAAGAUGCAGGUUACCCGCGACAGGACGGAAAGACCCCGUGGAGCUUUACUGUAGCCUGAUAUUGAAAUUCGGCACAGCUUGUACAGGAUAGGUAGGAGCCUUUGAAACGUGAGCGCUAGCUUACGUGGAGGCGCUGGUGGGAUACUACCCUAGCUGUGUUGGCUUUCUAACCCGCACCACUCAUCGUGGUGGGAGACAGUGUCAGGCGGGCAGUUUGACUGGGGCGGUCGCCUCCUAAAAGGUAACGGAGGCGCUCAAAGGUUCCCUCAGAAUGGUUGGAAAUCAUUCAUAGAGUGUAAAGGCAUAAGGGAGCUUGACUGCGAGACCUACAAGUCGAGCAGGGUCGAAAGACGGACUUAGUGAUCCGGUGGUUCCGCAUGGAAGGGCCAUCGCUCAACGGAUAAAAGCUACCCCGGGGAUAACAGGCUUAUCUCCCCCAAGAGUUCACAUCGACGGGGAGGUUUGGCACCUCGAUGUCGGCUCAUCGCAUCCUGGGGCUGUAGUCGGUCCCAAGGGUUGGGCUGUUCGCCCAUUAAAGCGGUACGCGAGCUGGGUUCAGAACGUCGUGAGACAGUUCGGUCCCUAUCCGUCGUGGGCGUAGGAAAUUUGAGAGGAGCUGUCCUUAGUACGAGAGGACCGGGAUGGACAUACCUCUGGUGUACCAGUUGUCGUGCCAACGGCAUAGCUGGGUAGCUAUGUGUGGACGGGAUAAGUGCUGAAAGCAUCUAAGCAUGAAGCCCCCCUCAAGAUGAGAUUUCCCAACUUCGGUUAUAAGAUCCCUCAAAGAUGAUGAGGUUAAUAGGUUCGAGGUGGAAGCAUGGUGACAUGUGGAGCUGACGAAUACUAAUCGAUCGAAGACUUAAUCAA